RNAcentral lists this ribosomal RNA (504 nucleotides) under uncultured bacterium. RNAcentral describes it as "partial 16S ribosomal RNA". It matches the Rfam family "Bacterial small subunit ribosomal RNA", at positions 29 to 523 of the family's 1533-position model. The record is from RNAcentral.
AUUGAACGCUGGCGGCAGGCCUAACACAUGCAAGUCGAGCGGUAGCACAGAGAGCUUGCUCUCGGGUGACGAGCAGCGGACGGGUGAGUAAUGUCUGGUAAACUGCCUGAGGGAGGGGGAUAACUACUGGAAACGGUAGCUAAUACCGCAUAACGUCGCAAGACCAAAGUGGGGUACCUUCGGGCCCCACGCAAUCCGAUGUGCCACGAGGGGAUUAGCUAGUAGGUGGGGUAACGGCUCACCUAGGCGACGAUCCCUAGCUGGUCUGAGAGGAUGACCAGCCACACUGGAACUGAGACACGGUCCAGACUCCUACGGGAGGCAACAGUGGGGAAUAUUGCACAAUGGGCGCAAGCCUGAUGCAGCCAUGCCGCGUGUGUGAAGAAGGCCUUCGGGUUGUAAAGCACUUUCAGCGGGGAGGAAGGCGGUGAGGUUAAUAACCUCAUCGAUUGACGUUACCCGCAGAAGAAGCACCGGCUAACUCCGUGCCAGCAGCCGCGGUAA